Molecule: non-coding RNA, 209 nt
Filed under: Metabacillus indicus
Lineage: Bacteria; Bacillati; Bacillota; Bacilli; Caryophanales; Bacillaceae
Description: Bacillus cibi T-box sequence
Rfam family: T-box leader
About the family: Uncharged tRNA acts as the effector for transcription antitermination of genes in the T-box leader family.
Source: RNAcentral
AGGAAAACGAUGAAGGAACGAGUAUGUUUCAGACCAUCUGACAAGAGAGGGGCUUGUACGCUGAGAGAGCUCUGAGAUGAAGGGAAACAGAAGGCUAUUCCGGAGUGCAGGCAAACCCUGCCGGUGAAACCACGUUACGGUUUUAAUGAAGUGAUGGACUAUUAUGUCUAUAAUCAGGGUGGUACCGCGAGCAAUCUCUCGUCCCUGUG